CAGCAGUGAGGAAUAUUGGUCAAUGGGCGUAAGCCUGAACCAGCCAAGUCGCGUGAGGGAUGAAGGAUCUAUGGUUCGUAAACCUCUUUUAUAAGGGAAUAAAGUGCGGGACGUGUCCUGUUUUGUAUGUACCUUAUGAAUAAGGAUCGGCUAACUCCGUGCCAGCAGCCGCGGUAAUACGGAGGAUCCGAGCGUUAUCCGGAUUUAUUGGGUUUAAAGGGUGCGUAGGCGGCCUUUUAAGUCAGCGGUGAAAGUCUGUGGCUCAACCAUAGAAUUGCCGUUGAAACUGGGGGGCUUGAGUAUGUUUGAGGCAGGCGGAAUGCGUGGUGUAGCGGUGAAAUGCAUAGAUAUCACGCAGAACCCCGAUUGCGAAGGCAGCCUGCCAAGCCAUGACUGACGCUGAUGCACGAAAGCGUGGGGAUCGAACAGGAUUAGA
This 436-nucleotide ribosomal RNA is filed under the name uncultured Parabacteroides sp. Its description in RNAcentral is "bacterial SSU rRNA". It matches the Rfam family "Bacterial small subunit ribosomal RNA", at positions 349 to 782 of the family's 1533-position model. Lineage: Bacteria; Pseudomonadati; Bacteroidota; Bacteroidia; Bacteroidales; Tannerellaceae. The record is from RNAcentral.